AACGCUGGCGGCGUGCCUAAUACAUGCAAGUCGAACGAGGUAGCAAUACCGAGUGGCGAACGGGUGAGUAACACGUAGGUAACCUGCCUUACAGUUUGGGAUACCCGAGGGAAACCUUGGCUAAUACCGAAUAAUUCUUCGGAGGCAUCUCCAGAAGCUAAAAGGGGCCUUUAAAGCCUCGCUGAAAGAUGGACCUGCGGCGCAUUAGCUAGUUGGUGAGAUAACAGCCCACCAAGGCGAGGAUGCGUAGCCGACCUAAGAGGGUGAACGGCCACACUGGAACUGAGACACGGUCCAGACUCCUACGGGAGGCAGCAGUAGGGAGUUUUCGGCAAUGGGGGAAACCCUGACCGAGCAACGCCGCGUGAACGAAUGAAGGUCUUCGGAUUGUAAAGUUCUGUUAUAAGGGAAGAAUGAUAACUUGAGGAAAUGCUAGUUAUUUGACGGUACCUUAUUAGAAAGCCACGGCUAACUACGUGCCAGCCGCUGC
This 490-nucleotide ribosomal RNA is filed under the name uncultured bacterium. RNAcentral describes it as "bacterial SSU rRNA". It matches the Rfam family "Bacterial small subunit ribosomal RNA", at positions 32 to 518 of the family's 1533-position model. The record is from RNAcentral.